This is a long non-coding RNA of Hydra vulgaris (swiftwater hydra), 612 nucleotides long. RefSeq lists it as uncharacterized. The record is from RefSeq and is a predicted model, not a curated record. Lineage: Eukaryota; Metazoa; Cnidaria; Hydrozoa; Anthoathecata; Hydridae.
UUCUGCAUUGUAUUAGUGACUUUUUUUUGGAAUAUUAAGUAUAUAAAAAAAAUUAAAAUAGUUCAAGAAGUUUUCGAUGUUUCCAAGUUUCUUCACUAGAAACAAUUAUUUUGUUUAUAGAGAAUUUGACAAUGCUCUAGAAAAAGCAUCAGCAACAGACAUAUCUUACAAAGCUUUUGCAGCAUAUUGCAGAUCAAAUAGAGAACCCACUCUCAUAAAGCACAUAUGGGCUUAAAUUUAGGGCAAAAUCUCUGCCCCCCUCCCCCCACUUUUUUUUUUUUUUAAAGUGGAAAGUAAAGUAUGAUGAGAUAAAAAGAUGGGAAAAUAAUAUGCUACAUCUAUAAUUAUUAUUUUUGUAGUUGGUUAAUCUACGAAUUGGUAAUUAAUAAUGCAAAUUUAGUUAAAUUUUUUUUGUAAAUACAUACUUUUCUUUAUAUAUUUUGUUUAUUUAUUAUGUAUAAAUAAAUUGAUUUACAUGUGGUGUAUUUUUUUCCUUUUUUAAUUUGAUUACUUUUUAGAUUACGUGUAGAUGACGUGUUUGUUCAAUAUAGACACGCAAUUUAAAACUAUUAAAAAUUGUUAUGUUUUUUUAAUUUGUUAAUAAAUCUGUGA